UGCCAGCCGCCGCGGUAAUACGGAGGGUACAAACGUUGUUCGGAAUUACUGGGCAUAAAGCGCACGUAGGCGGCCUGAUAAGUCAGUUGUGAAAGCCCUCGGCUCAACCGGGGAACUGCGAUUGAUACUGUCAGGCUCGAGGGUGGUUGGGGUGAGUGGAACUUCUGGUGGAGCAGUGAAAUGCGUAGAUAUCAGAAGGAACACCAGUGGCGAAAGCGGCUCACUGGACCACAUCCGACGCUGAUGAGCGAAAGCGUAGGGAGCGAAGAGGAUUAGAUA
RNAcentral lists this ribosomal RNA (279 nucleotides) under uncultured bacterium. RNAcentral's name for it is "partial 16S ribosomal RNA". It matches the Rfam family "Bacterial small subunit ribosomal RNA", at positions 506 to 784 of the family's 1533-position model. The record is from RNAcentral.